AUGAAUUAUUCACUCGUUAUUGAACCAUUUGAUGUUUGGGGCUUUGAUUAUAUGGGACCGUUUCCUUCCUCUAACGGGAAUACACAUAUUUUAGUUGCUGUUGAUUACGUUACUAAGUGGGUAGAAGCUAUUCAAACUAGUAGUGCUGAUCAUAACACCUCUAUUAAGAUGCUUAAAGAAGUUAUUUUUUCGAGGUUUGGAGUCCCUAGAUAUUUAAUGGCUGAUGGUGGUUCACAUUUUAUUCAUGGUUUUUUUCGUAAAAUGCUUGCUAAGUAUGAUGUUAAUCAUAGAAUUGCAUCUCCAUAUCACCCGUAG
Molecule: ribosomal RNA, 315 nt
Filed under: Triticum aestivum (bread wheat)
Lineage: Eukaryota; Viridiplantae; Streptophyta; Magnoliopsida; Poales; Poaceae
Description: partial small subunit ribosomal RNA
Source: RNAcentral